CAGGGUAUAGCUAAAUAGCUAAGGCAUCUCCCCUACACUGAGAAAAUAUUCGUGCAAAUCGAAUUGCCCUGA
RNAcentral lists this transfer RNA (72 nucleotides) under Grammoplites scaber (rough flathead). RNAcentral's name for it is "tRNA-Val". It matches the Rfam family "tRNA". From Rfam's summary of the family: Transfer RNA (tRNA) molecules are approximately 80 nucleotides in length. Their secondary structure includes four short double-helical elements and three loops (D, anti-codon, and T loops). Further hydrogen bonds mediate the characteristic L-shaped molecular structure. tRNAs have two regions of fundamental functional importance: the anti-codon, which is responsible for specific mRNA codon recognition, and the 3' end, to which the tRNAs corresponding amino acid is attached (by aminoacyl-tRNA synthetases). tRNAs cope with the degeneracy of the genetic code in two manners: having more than one tRNA (with a specific anti-codon) for a particular amino acid; and 'wobble' base-pairing, i.e. permitting non-standard base-pairing at the 3rd anti-codon position. Lineage: Eukaryota; Metazoa; Chordata; Actinopteri; Perciformes; Platycephalidae. The record is from RNAcentral. RNAcentral also lists the same sequence under 1 other name.